RNAcentral lists this long non-coding RNA (1379 nucleotides) under Chrysemys picta bellii (western painted turtle). RNAcentral describes it as "lncRNA (ENSCPBG00000016918.1)". Lineage: Eukaryota; Metazoa; Chordata; Testudines; Emydidae. The record is from RNAcentral.
GCGCGCUGCAGAGGGGCAGGACUCGUGCCGCCUACCCCCCUGCUCACUCUGGUGUGCUGCAGAAGCACUCACCCGCACUCCUCUGCCCCUUUCAGAUCCCGCUUGCUACAGAUACAGCCCGGAGCGGCUGAAGAAAGCGAAGUCGUGCCAGCCCAUGGACGAGGUGCCCCCGCAGGCACGGCAGGGGCGCCGGCAAUCGGAGCCCUUCCACCUCCGGCGCCGCAGGGAGAAGCUCCCGGAUGGACUGCAUGGUGGUGUGGGGUCGGGGCCGCAGGCCGCAGGAAGUCUGGUGCGAGCUCCCCUCUACAGCCUGGGGCACAGUGUGGUGUGGGGAUGGGAGCUGCGGUGCUCUGGGCUUGGUGAUUCCUGGCACAUGGUACUCUUGGGGCCAAUCACAGGGAUGCGGUGAGGAGGCCUGGUGAACGCACCUCUCCAGCCCCCCGCGGCGGGCCUGAGGGGCCGUCGGGUGGCAGAUGGGCUGCCCUGGGGCUCCGCUUUCCAGGAGCGGGAGGCGGUGGUGGAGGAGCUGCGGCGUUGGAGAAGCGCGUUCCCGGUGCCCUGGGGCUGCGCUGGGCUUGGGUGGCGCCUGUGCCCUGCAGGGUCUGGGGCUGGGCAGAAAGCAGACGUCCCCCAGCUGCGACCCCGGGGGGGCCGGGCCUGUCCCACACCUGUCGGUCGCAUCACCGGGGGGCAGGGUACAACUGGCAGGCCUCUCACUUGCUGUUUUCCCCACAGAGCCUGCCAAGCAGAUUGUCAAGCAGCUGGGUGAGAAAGGACUGAAGGUAAGAUCAUAGAGCCACAAGGUGAGACGGGACCGCAAGGGUCGUCUAGCCUAGCCCCUGCCAAGCUGCAGGAUCUGUUGUCUAAGCCAUCCAAGACCGCUGGUUAUCCAGCCUCCUUCUGAAAACCUCCAGCGAAGGAGCUUCCUCGACCUCCCUAGGCAGGUCUGUUCCGUUGUCGUCCUCUUCUUGCCGUUAGGAAGCUUUUCCUGAGAUUUGAUCUAAACCUGCAGUGCUGUCGUUUGAACCCAUUGCCUCUUGUCCUGCCCUCUGUGGCAAGAGAAACUUUUCUCCAUCUUUUUUAUGGCAGCCUUUCAAGUAUUUGAAGACCAGUAUGAUGUCUCCUCUUCAUCUCCUCUUUUCCGAACUACACAUACUCAGUUCCUUCAGCCUUUGCUCGUAUGACUUGCAUUCCAUCCCUUUGAUCAUCUUUGUCGCUUGCUUCUGGGUCCUUCCCAGUUUCUCUCUACAUCCUUUCUAUAGGUUGGUGACCAACAUUGGACACACUACUCCAGCUGAGGCCUCACCAGCGCCGUGUAGAGCGGUACUAUCACCUCCCAUGACUUGCAUGCUGUGCCUCUGUUAAUGCAACCCAAAAUU